GAUGAACGCUGGCGGCGUGUCUAAUACAUGCAAGUCGAGCGAACGGACGAGAAGCUUGCUUCUCUGAUGUUAGCGGCGGACGGGUGAGUAACACGUGUAUAACCUACCUAUAAGACUGGGAUAACUUCGGGAAACCGUAGCUAAUACCGGAUAAUAUUUUGAACCGCAUGGUUCAAAAGUGAAAGUCGGUCUUGCUGUCACUUAUAGCUGGAUCCGCGCUGCAUUAGCUAGUUGGUAAGGUAACGGCUUACCAAGGCUACGAUGCAUAGCCGACCUGAGAGGGUGAUCGGCCACACUGGAACUGAGACACGGUCCAGACUCCUACGAGAGGCAGCAGUAGGGAAUCUUCCGCAAUGGGCGAAAGCCUGACGGAGCAACGCCGCGUGAGUGAUGAAGGUCUUCGGAUCGUAAAACUCUGUUAUUAGGGAAGAACAUAUGUGUAAGUAACUGUGCACAUCUUGACGGUACCUAAUCAGAAAGCCACGGCUAACUACGUG
Molecule: ribosomal RNA, 497 nt
Filed under: uncultured bacterium
Lineage: Bacteria
Description: partial 16S ribosomal RNA
Rfam family: Bacterial small subunit ribosomal RNA
Source: RNAcentral